GACGUAGGGUGCGAGCGUUGUCCGGAUUUAUUGGGCGUAAAGAGCUCGUAGGCGGCUUGGCAAGUCGGGUGUGAAAACUUCAGGCUCAACCUGGAGCGGCCACUCGAUACUGCCAUGGCUUGAGUCCGGUAGGGGACCACGGAAUUCCUGGUGUAGCGGUGAAAUGCGCAGAUAUCAGGAGGAACACCGGUGGCGAAGGCGGUGGUCUGGGCCGGAACUGACGCUGAGGAGCGAAAGCGUGGGGAGCGAACAGG
This 254-nucleotide ribosomal RNA is filed under the name uncultured bacterium. RNAcentral describes it as "partial 16S ribosomal RNA". It matches the Rfam family "Bacterial small subunit ribosomal RNA", at positions 524 to 776 of the family's 1533-position model. The record is from RNAcentral.